GAUCCUGGCUCAAGAUGAACGCUAGCUACAGGCUUAACACAUGCAAGUCGAGGGGCAGCAUUCCAGUUUGCUUGCAAACUGGAGAUGGCGACCGGCGCACGGGUGAGUAACACGUAUCCAACCUGCCGAUAACUCGGGGAUAGCCUCUCGAAAGAAAGAUUAAUACCCGAUGGCAUAAUAGAACCGCAUGGUUUGAUUAUUAAAGAAUUUCGGUUAUCGAUGGGGAUGCGUUCCAUUAGG
RNAcentral lists this ribosomal RNA (240 nucleotides) under uncultured bacterium. RNAcentral describes it as "partial 16S ribosomal RNA". It matches the Rfam family "Bacterial small subunit ribosomal RNA", at positions 15 to 245 of the family's 1533-position model. The record is from RNAcentral.